This 456-nucleotide ribosomal RNA is filed under the name Escherichia coli. RNAcentral describes it as "bacterial SSU rRNA". It matches the Rfam family "Bacterial small subunit ribosomal RNA", at positions 346 to 793 of the family's 1533-position model. The record is from RNAcentral. Lineage: Bacteria; Pseudomonadati; Pseudomonadota; Gammaproteobacteria; Enterobacterales; Enterobacteriaceae.
AGGCAGCAGUGGGGAAUAUUGCACAAUGGGCGCAAGCCUGAUGCAGCCAUGCCGCGUGUAUGAAGAAGGCCUUCGGGUUGUAAAGUACUUUCAGCGGGGAGGAAGGGAGUAAAGUUAAUACCUUUGCUCAUUGACGUUACCCGCAGAAGAAGCACCGGCUAACUCCGUGCCAGCAGCCGCGGUAAUACGGAGGGUGCAAGCGUUAAUCGGAAUUACUGGGCGUAAAGCGCACGCAGGCGGUUUGUUAAGUCAGAUGUGAAAUCCCCGGGCUCAACCUGGGAACUGCAUCUGAUACUGGCAAGCUUGAGUCUCGUAGAGGGGGGUAGAAUUCCAGGUGUAGCGGUGAAAUGCGUAGAGAUCUGGAGGAAUACCGGUGGCGAAGGCGGCCCCCUGGACGAAGACUGACGCUCAGGUGCGAAAGCGUGGGGAGCAAACAGGAUUAGAUACCCAGGUAAG